RNAcentral lists this ribosomal RNA (2754 nucleotides) under Triticum aestivum (bread wheat). Its description in RNAcentral is "partial small subunit ribosomal RNA". The record is from RNAcentral. Lineage: Eukaryota; Viridiplantae; Streptophyta; Magnoliopsida; Poales; Poaceae.
AUGGCCAUGGAGGCGGCUCUCGUCAGCGUGGCCACGGGGGCCCUCAAACCCGUCAUAGGGAAGCUGACCGUUCUGCUCGGCAACGAGUACAAGCGUUUCAAGACAGUUCGCAAGGAGAUCAAGUCUCUCACUAAUGAGCUUGCCGCCAUGGAAGCUUUUCUCCUCAAGAUGUCUGAGGAUGAAGAUCCUGAUGUGCAGGAUAAGGUGUGGAUGAAUGAGGUGCGGGAGCUGUCCUAUGACAUGGAGGACGCCAUCGAUGACUUCAUGCAAAGCAUCGGUGACAAGGACGAAAAGCCAGAUGGCUUCAUUGAGAAGGUCAAGAACUCACUAGGGAAGUUGGGGAAGAUGAAGGCUCGCCGCCGGAUCGGCAAAGAGAUUCAGGAUCUGAAGAAACAAAUCAUUGAAGUGGGCGACAGGAAUGCAAGGUACAAGAGUCGUGAGACUGUCUCAAACACCAGAAAUGCGGCCGUUGACCCAAGAGCUCUUGCUAUCUUUGAGCAUGCCUCAAAGCUUGUUGGAAUCGAUGAACCCAAGGCUGAGAUAAUCAAGCUGUUAACAGAAGAGGAUGUUCGUGCUUUAGAGCAACAACAACAACAACAACUGAAGAUAGUCUCCAUUGUUGGAUCUGGAGGUAUGGGCAAAACAACUCUUGCAAACCAAAUGUAUCAAGAGCUCAAAGGACAAUACGAGUGCCGGGCCUUCUUAUCCGUGUCACGAAGCCCAAACAUCAUGAAUAUUCUGAGGACUAUUCUUAGUGAAAUUAGCGGUCAAGGUUAUUCUAACACGGAAGCAGGGAGUGUACAAAUACUCCUUAGCAAGAUCAAUGACUUCCUACUAGAUAAAAGGUACUUUGUUGUUGUUGACGAUAUAUGGGACGUGGAUACCUGGGAUAUUAUUAAGUGUGCAUUCCCUGCUACAAGUUCUGCUAGUAGAAUAAUCACGACUACUCGUAUAAACAGUGUCGCUCAUUCAUGUUGUUCAUCAUUCACUGGCUGUAUCUACAAUAUAAGGGCCCUUGAUAUGGUGCACUCAAGACAGUUAUUUCACAGAAGGUUAUUCAAGUCUGAUGAAAAUUGCCCUUCAUACCUUCAAGAAAUUUCUGAGCAGAUAUUGGAAAAGUGCCAUGGGUUACCUUUGGCGAUCAUUGCUAUAUCUGGUUUGUUGGCUAACAUAGAAAAAACAGAAGAUCUAUGGAAUCAAGUGAAAGAUUCAAUUGGCCGUGCACUUGAAAGAAAUCCUAAUGUCGAAGGAAUGAUGAAGAUAUUGUCACUUAGUUACUUUGAUCUGCCUCUUUAUCUAAAAACAUGUCUCUUAUAUCUGAGCGUAUAUCUAGAAGAUUCUAUUAUUAAUAAGAAGGGCCUGAUAAGAAGAUGGAUUGCUGAAGGAUUCAUUCAUAGAGAUGGUAAAUACACGGCAUAUGAGUUAGGAGAAAGGUGUUUUAAUGAACUACUCAAUAGGGGUUUGAUCCAGCCUGGGAGGACAGAUAUCUAUGGCGAAGUGAAGAGUUGUCGGGUUCAUGACACAAUUCUUGAUUUCAUCAUAUCCAAGUCCAUAGAAGAGAACUUCGUUACUUUACUUGGUGUUCCCAAUCUGACAAUUGGGAACGAAAGCAAAGUUGUUCGACGACUCUGUCUACAAGGUGUAAAGGAAGGAAAUUCAACAGGUCUCGUGUUAUCCCAUGUCCGAUCACUUAUUGUGGUUGGAGAUCUUGUGGAAAUCCCUUCUCUGGAGGAGUUCAGGCAUCUGCGUGUUCUCGACUUGAUGGAUUGCUCCCAAUUGGAAGAUCAUCAUCUUGAAAAUAUAGUGAGGUUGUUCCAGCUGAGGUACCUAAGUCUCAAAGGUGCAGAAAUAAGCAAGCUCCCAGAACAAAUCGGGCGUUUAGGGUGCUUAGAGAUUCUGGACCUAAGACGCACUCGUGUAAGGGAAUUGCCCGCAUCAGUUGUUAAUCUCAGAAGAUUGUCGCAUCUACUUGUUGACGAGGAUGUUAAAUUUCCUGCUGGGAUUGCAAAGAUGCAAGCACUAGAGACGUUGGAAGAUGUCGAUGCCUCCAUUCAGCCAUUAGACUUCCUGUGCGGCCUUGGUCAACUAAUGAAUUUGAGGAAUCUGCAGAUUGACCUUGGUUUGAGGAAUCUGCAGCACAACAAAGCUAUUGUCUCCUCCCUGUGUAAGCUAGGCACCCAGAAUCUCCGCUCCCUGACUAUUCAUGCAGGGAACAACCUCUUACAUGAGGAAUCUUUGUGCCUACGUACCUUCGAGGAUCUUUCUUUCUCUCCUUCGGCCUUCCCACAGGUUCCGACAUGGGUGGGCUCCCUCAAAAACCUCCAACGGCUAAGCCUUAUUGUGGAGGCGCUCAAGCAGGACGACCUCUGCAUCCUUGGAGCGUUACCCAGUCUGCUGAUUCUGGAUCUGGCGGGACAAACAGAGUCAAACAGAAAGCUCAGAUUCAGUGGUGAAGUUGGGUUCCGACUCUUGAAGAUUUUUAUUUAUGGUGGAUGGAUUAACUCAGUAGAUCUGAUGUUUGGGACAGGGUCCAUGCCAAAGCUAGAAAAAGUCGAGCUUAAUUAUAUUCGCAUAGUUGAAGCGAACUCUCUUGGCUUUGGAAUUGAGAACCUCCCUUGCCUCACUAGUGUCAAAUGCAUUGGUGUUAAGGGUGAUGAUGACAUAGUUGAAGCCGUGAAGACCGUCAUGGAGAGAGGAGUCAGCACACAUCCCAACCACCCUAGUCUACUCUUUCAGAGACUUCGCCGGUUCUGA